CGGGACGGGUGAGUAAUGUCUGGGAAACUGCCUGAUGGAGGGGGAUAACUACUGGAAACGGUGGCUAAUACCGCAUAACGUCGCAAGACCAAAGAGGGGGACCGUUCGGGCCUCUUGCCAUCGGAUGUGCCCAGAUGGGAUUAGCUAGUAGGUGGGGUAACGGCUCACCUAGGCGACGAUCCCUAGCUGGUCUGAGAGGAUGACCAGCCACACUGGAACUGAGACACGGUCCAG
RNAcentral lists this ribosomal RNA (234 nucleotides) under uncultured bacterium. Its description in RNAcentral is "partial 16S ribosomal RNA". It matches the Rfam family "Bacterial small subunit ribosomal RNA", at positions 100 to 334 of the family's 1533-position model. The record is from RNAcentral.